This 463-nucleotide ribosomal RNA is filed under the name uncultured bacterium. RNAcentral's name for it is "partial 16S ribosomal RNA". It matches the Rfam family "Bacterial small subunit ribosomal RNA", at positions 28 to 507 of the family's 1533-position model. The record is from RNAcentral.
GAUGAACGCUGACAGAAUGCUUAACACAUGCAAGUCUUUGGCGAAGCUGUGCUUGCACAGCCUAGCCAAGUCGGACGGGUGAGUAACGCGUAAGGAACUUGCCCUGCAGUCAGGGAUAACAGACGGAAACGACGGAUAAGACCUGGUAAAGUCAGGCGGACUCAUGUCCAGCCUGAUGAAAAGAGAUGCUGCAGGAGAGCCUUGCGUCCUAUUAGCUUGUUGGUGGGGUAACGGCCCACCAAGGCGAUGAUAGGUAGCCGGCCUGAGAGGGUGGACGGCCACAAGUGGAACGAGAUGCGGCACUUACUACUACGGGAGGAAGCAGUGGAGCCUAUUGGACCAUGGCGGCAACACUGAUGAAGCCAUUCUGUGUGCACGAUGCAGGUUUUCGGAUUGUAAAGCGGUUUCAGCAGGGAAGAAAAAAAUGACGGUACCUGAAGAAGAAGCGACGGCUAACUACGUG